UGCUUGCACCUUUCAAGUGAGUGGCGAACGGGUGAGUAACACGUGGACAACCUGCCUCAAGGCUGGGGAUAACAUUUGGAAACAGAUGCUAAUACCGAAUAAAACUUAGUGUCGCAUGACACAAAGUUAAAAGGCGCUUCGGCGUCACCUAGAGAUGGAUCCGCGGUGCAUUAGUUAGUUGGUGGGGUAAAGGCCUACCAAGACAAUGAUGCAUAGCCGAGUUGAGAGACUGAUCGGCCACAUUGGGACUGAGACACGGCCCAAACUCCUACGGGAGGCUGCAGUAGGGAAUCUUCCACAAUGGGCGAAAGCCUGAUGGAGCAACGCCGCGUGUGUGAUGAAGGCUUUCGGGUCGUAAAGCACUGUUGUAUGGGAAGAACAGCUAGAAUAGGAAAUGAUUUUAGUUUGACGGUACCAUACCAGAAAGGGACGGCUAAAUACGUGCCAGCAGCCGCGGUAAUACGUAUGUCCCGAGCGUUAUCCGGAUUUAUUGGGCGUAAAGCGAGCGCAGACGGUUUAUUAAGUCUGAUGUGAAAGCCCGGAGCUCAACUCCGGAAUGGCAUUGGAAACUGGUUAACUUGAGUGCAGUAGAGGUAAGUGGAACUCCAUGUGUAGCGGUGGAAUGCGUAGAUAUAUGGAAGAACACCAGUGGCGAAGGCGGCUUACUGGACUGCAACUGACGUUGAGGCUCGAAAGUGUGGGUAGCAAACAGGAUUAGAUACCCUGGGUAGUCCACACCGUAAACGAUGAACACUAGGUGUUAGGAGGUUUCCGCCUCUUAGUGCCGAAGCUAACGCAUUAAGUGUUCCGCCUGGGGAGUACGACCGCAAGGUUGAAACUCAAAGGAAUUGACCUGGGGACCCGCACAAGCGGUGGAGCAUGUGGUUUAAUUCGAAGCAA
This 900-nucleotide ribosomal RNA is filed under the name Leuconostoc mesenteroides. RNAcentral describes it as "bacterial SSU rRNA". It matches the Rfam family "Bacterial small subunit ribosomal RNA", at positions 77 to 959 of the family's 1533-position model. Lineage: Bacteria; Bacillati; Bacillota; Bacilli; Lactobacillales; Lactobacillaceae. The record is from RNAcentral.